This 495-nucleotide ribosomal RNA is filed under the name uncultured bacterium. Its description in RNAcentral is "partial 16S ribosomal RNA". It matches the Rfam family "Bacterial small subunit ribosomal RNA", at positions 899 to 1397 of the family's 1533-position model. The record is from RNAcentral.
ACUCAAAUGAAUUGACGGGGGCCCGCACAAGCAGCGGAGCAUGUGGUUUAAUUCGAAGCAACGCGAAGAACCUUACCAGAACUUGACAUCCCUUGCAUUACUCUUAACCGAGGAAAUCCUUCGGGACAAGGAGACAGGUGGUGCAUGGUUGUCGUCAGCUCGUGUCGUGAGAUGUUGGGUUAAGUCCCGCAACGAGCGCAACCCUUAUUUUUAGUUGCCAUCAUUAAGUUGGGCACUCUAGAGAGACUGCCGGAGAUAAUCCGGAGGAAGGCGGGGAUGACGUCAAAUCAUCAUGCCCCUUAUGUUCUGGGCUACACACGUGCUACAAUGGGUAAAACAACGAGCAGCAAGCUGGUGACAGCAAGCAAAUCUCUAAAAGUUACCCCCAGUUCGGAUUGUAGGCUGAAACUCGCCUACAUGAAGUUGGAGUUGCUAGUAAUCGCGGAUCAGCAUGCCGCGGUGAAUACGUUCCCGGGCCUUGUACACACCGCCCGU